UACGUAGGGUGCAAGCGUUGUCCGGAAUUAUUGGGCGUAAAGAGCUCGUAGGCGGUUUGUCGCGUCGAAUGUGAAAACCCGGGGCUCAACUCCGGGCCUGCAUUCGAUACGGGCAGACUAGAGUUCGGUAGGGGAGACUGGAAUUCCUGGUGUAGCGGUGAAAUGCGUAGAUAUCUGGAGGAACACCGGUGGCGAAGGCGGCGUUCUGGACUGCAACUGACACUGAUGAACGAAAGCCAGGGGAGCAAACGGG
This 253-nucleotide ribosomal RNA is filed under the name uncultured bacterium. RNAcentral's name for it is "partial 16S ribosomal RNA". It matches the Rfam family "Bacterial small subunit ribosomal RNA", at positions 524 to 776 of the family's 1533-position model. The record is from RNAcentral.